RNAcentral lists this ribosomal RNA (253 nucleotides) under uncultured bacterium. RNAcentral describes it as "partial 16S ribosomal RNA". It matches the Rfam family "Bacterial small subunit ribosomal RNA", at positions 524 to 776 of the family's 1533-position model. The record is from RNAcentral.
UACGUGGGUAGCGAGCGUUGUUCGGAGUUACUGGGCGUAAAGGGUGUGUAGGCGGUUGUUUAAGUUUGGUGUGAAAUCUCCCGGCUCAACUGGGAGGGUGCGCCGAAUACUGAGUGACUAGAGUGCGGGAGAGGAAAGUGGAAUUCCUGGUGUAGCGGUGAAAUGCGUAGAUAUCAGGAGGAACACCGGUGGUGUAGACGGCUUUCUGGACCGUAACUGACGCUGAGACACGAAAGCGUGGGUAGUAAACAGG